RNAcentral lists this transfer RNA (76 nucleotides) under Desulfobacterales bacterium. Its description in RNAcentral is "tRNA-Ala". It matches the Rfam family "tRNA". Rfam says of the family: Transfer RNA (tRNA) molecules are approximately 80 nucleotides in length. RNAcentral also lists the same sequence under 2 other names. The record is from RNAcentral. Lineage: Bacteria; Pseudomonadati; Thermodesulfobacteriota; Desulfobacteria; Desulfobacterales.
GGGGAUGUAGCUCAGUCGGGAGAGCGGUACGUUCGCAACGUACAGGUCGUGGGUUCGAAUCCCAUCAUCUCCACCA